Molecule: ribosomal RNA, 254 nt
Filed under: uncultured bacterium
Lineage: Bacteria
Description: partial 16S ribosomal RNA
Rfam family: Bacterial small subunit ribosomal RNA
Source: RNAcentral
UACGUAGGCAGCGAGCGUUGUUCGGAGUUACUGGGCGUAAAGGGUGUGUAGGCGGUUGUUCAAGUUUGGUGUGAAAUCUCCCGGCUCAACUGGGAGGGUGCGCCGAAUACUGAAUGACUUGGAGUGCGGGAGAGGUGAGUGGAAUUCCUGGUGUAGCGGUGAAAUGCGUAGAUAUCAGGAGGAACACCGGUGGUGUAGGCGGCUCACUGGACCGUAACUGACGCUGAGACACGAAAGCGUGGGUAGCAAACAGG